GGGUUGUGAGGUUAAGCGACUAAGCGUACACGGUGGAUGCCCUGGCAGUCAGAGGCGAUGAAGGACGUGCUAAUCUGCGAUAAGCGCCGGUAAGGUGAUAUGAACCGUUAUAACCGGCGAUUUCCGAAUGGGGAAACCCAGUGUGAUUCGUCACACUAUCAUUAACUGAAUCCAUAGGUUAAUGAGGCGAACCGGGGGAACUGAAACAUCUAAGUACCCCGAGGAAAAGAAAUCAACCGAGAUUCCCCCAGUAGCGGCGAGCGAACGGGGAGGAGCCCAGAGCCUGAAUCAGCAUGUGUGUUAGUGGAAGCGUCUGGAAAGGCGCGCGAUACAGGGUGACAGCCCCGUACACAAAAGCGCAUGUGCUGUGAGCUCGAUGAGUAGGGCGGGACACGUGGUAUCCUGUCUGAAUAUGGGGGGACCAUCCUCCAAGGCUAAAUACUCCUGACUGACCGAUAGUGAACCAGUACCGUGAGGGAAAGGCGAAAAGAACCCCGGCGAGGGGAGUGAAAAAGAACCUGAAACCGUGUACGUACAAGCAGUGGGAGCACCCUUCGGGGUGUGACUGCGUACCUUUUGUAUAAUGGGUCAGCGACUUAUAUUCUGUAGCAAGGUUAACCGUAUAGGGGAGCCGGAGGGAAACCGAGUCUUAAC
RNAcentral lists this ribosomal RNA (654 nucleotides) under Salmonella enterica. RNAcentral describes it as "partial 23S ribosomal RNA". It matches the Rfam family "Bacterial large subunit ribosomal RNA", at positions 1 to 688 of the family's 2925-position model. Lineage: Bacteria; Pseudomonadati; Pseudomonadota; Gammaproteobacteria; Enterobacterales; Enterobacteriaceae. The record is from RNAcentral. RNAcentral also lists the same sequence under 2 other names.